RNAcentral lists this ribosomal RNA (422 nucleotides) under uncultured bacterium. RNAcentral describes it as "partial 16S ribosomal RNA". It matches the Rfam family "Bacterial small subunit ribosomal RNA", at positions 360 to 774 of the family's 1533-position model. The record is from RNAcentral.
AAUAUUGGACAAUGGGGGCAACCCUGAUCCAGCCAUGCCGCGUGUGUGAAGAAGGUCAUCGGAUUGUCAAGCACUUUAAGUGGGGAGGAAGGGCUUAAGGUUAAUACCCUGAAGUUUUGAUGUUACCAACAGAAUAAGCACCGGCUAACUCUGUGCCAGCAGCCGCGGUAAUACAGAGGGUGCAAGCGUUAAUCGGAAUUACGGGGCGUAAAGCGCGAGUAGGUGUUUCAGUAAGAUGGGUGUGAAAUCCCCGUGCUUAACCUGGAAACUGCUUUAUUAACUGCUGAGCUAGAGUACGGUAGAGGGUAGUGAAAUUACCUGUGUAGCGGUGAAAUGCGUAGAUAUAGGAAGGAACACCAGUGGCGAAGGCGACUACCUGGACUGAUACUGACACUGAGGUGCGAAAGCGUGGGGAGCAAACA